GGGGCUGUAGCUCAGUAGUAGAACUCUUGCCUAGCAUGCAUGAGGCACUGGGUUCAAUCCCCAGCACCA
RNAcentral lists this transfer RNA (69 nucleotides) under Ictidomys tridecemlineatus (thirteen-lined ground squirrel). Its description in RNAcentral is "Spermophilus tridecemlineatus (thirteen-lined ground squirrel) tRNA". It matches the Rfam family "tRNA". From Rfam's summary of the family: Transfer RNA (tRNA) molecules are approximately 80 nucleotides in length. Their secondary structure includes four short double-helical elements and three loops (D, anti-codon, and T loops). Further hydrogen bonds mediate the characteristic L-shaped molecular structure. tRNAs have two regions of fundamental functional importance: the anti-codon, which is responsible for specific mRNA codon recognition, and the 3' end, to which the tRNAs corresponding amino acid is attached (by aminoacyl-tRNA synthetases). tRNAs cope with the degeneracy of the genetic code in two manners: having more than one tRNA (with a specific anti-codon) for a particular amino acid; and 'wobble' base-pairing, i.e. permitting non-standard base-pairing at the 3rd anti-codon position. Lineage: Eukaryota; Metazoa; Chordata; Mammalia; Rodentia; Sciuridae. The record is from Rfam by way of RNAcentral. RNAcentral also lists the same sequence under 1 other name.